GGGGAUGUAGCUCAGAGGCAGAGCACUUGCCUGGCAAGCAUGAGGCCCUAGGUUCAAUUCCCAUUGUCA
Molecule: transfer RNA, 69 nt
Filed under: Cavia porcellus (domestic guinea pig)
Lineage: Eukaryota; Metazoa; Chordata; Mammalia; Rodentia; Caviidae
Rfam family: tRNA
About the family: Transfer RNA (tRNA) molecules are approximately 80 nucleotides in length. Their secondary structure includes four short double-helical elements and three loops (D, anti-codon, and T loops).
Source: Rfam by way of RNAcentral